AAAGAACAAUAAUCAAUAUUUUCCGGGUUGUAAAAAAAAAGAUUUUUGAGAUCUCGCUUUAUUUCAAGCCGAGAUUCAACUGUUUAGGCUCAAAGGGGUUAACAAAUGCUCUCUCUGCUCACAGGUAAGUUGUUUUUGGAUGUAGUUGUGCUCGAAAGAAAACAAGGCCUUGAUCAUUUCUAAUUGCUUCCACAAUUUCACAAUAA
RNAcentral lists this long non-coding RNA (206 nucleotides) under Lathyrus oleraceus (garden pea). RNAcentral's name for it is "Pisum sativum (pea) long non-coding RNA (PSAT_LNC007780)". The record is from RNAcentral. Lineage: Eukaryota; Viridiplantae; Streptophyta; Magnoliopsida; Fabales; Fabaceae.